GAUGAACGCUGGCGGCGUGCCUAAUACAUGCAAGUCGAGCGAACGGACGAGAAGCUUGCUUCUCUGAUGUUAGCGGCGGACGGGUGAGUAACACGUGGAUAACCUACCUAUAAGACUGGGAUAACUUCGGGAAACCGGAGCUAAUACCGGAUAAUAUUUUGAACCGCAUGGUUCAAAAGCGAAAGACGGUCUUUCUGUCACUUAUAGAUGUAUCCGCGCUGCAUUAGCUAGUUGGUAAGGUAACGGCUUACCAAGGCAACGAUGCAUAGCCGACCUGAGAGGGUGAUCGGCCACACUGGAACUGAGACACGGUCCAGACUCCUACGGGAGGCAGCAGUAGGGAAUAUUCCGCAAUGGGCGAAAGCCUGACGGAGCAACGCCGCGUGAGUGAUGAAGGUCUUCGGAUCGUAAAACUCUGUUAUUAGGGAAGAACAUAUGUGUAAGUAACUGUGCACAUCUUGACGGUACCUAAUCAGAAAGCCACGGCUAACUACGUG
This 497-nucleotide ribosomal RNA is filed under the name uncultured bacterium. RNAcentral describes it as "partial 16S ribosomal RNA". It matches the Rfam family "Bacterial small subunit ribosomal RNA", at positions 28 to 507 of the family's 1533-position model. The record is from RNAcentral.